UGGGGAAUAUUGGACAAUGGGCGAAAGCCCGAUCCAGCCACGCCGCGUGUGUGAAGAAGGUCUUCGGAUUGUAAAGCACUUUAAGUUGGGAGGAAGGGCAGUAAGCUAAUACCUUGCUGUUUUGACGUUACCGACAGAAUAAGCACCGGCUAACUCUGUG
This 160-nucleotide ribosomal RNA is filed under the name uncultured bacterium. RNAcentral describes it as "partial 16S ribosomal RNA". It matches the Rfam family "Bacterial small subunit ribosomal RNA", at positions 355 to 507 of the family's 1533-position model. The record is from RNAcentral.